Molecule: ribosomal RNA, 465 nt
Filed under: Vreelandella stevensii
Lineage: Bacteria; Pseudomonadati; Pseudomonadota; Gammaproteobacteria; Oceanospirillales; Halomonadaceae
Description: partial 16S ribosomal RNA
Rfam family: Bacterial small subunit ribosomal RNA
Source: RNAcentral
CCUACGGGGGGCAGCAGUGGGGAAUAUUGGACAAUGGGGGGAACCCUGAUCCAGCCAUGCCGCGUGUGUGAAGAAGGCCCUCGGGUUGUAAAGCACUUUCAGUGAGGAAGAACGCCUGGUGGUUAAUACCCAUCAGGAAAGACAUCACUCACAGAAGAAGCACCGGCUAACUCCGUGCCAGCAGCCGCGGUAAUACGGAGGGUGCGAGCGUUAAUCGGAAUUACUGGGCGUAAAGCGCGCGUAGGUGGCUUGAUAAGCCGGUUGUGAAAGCCCCGGGCUCAACCUGGGAACGGCAUCCGGAACUGUCAAGCUAGAGUGCAAGAGAGGAAGGUAGAAUUCCCGGUGUAGCGGUGAAAUGCGUAGAGAUCGGGAGGAAUACCAGUGGCGAAGGCGGCCUUCUGGACUGACACUGACACUGAGGUGCGAAAGCGUGGGUAGCAAACAGGAUUAUAUACCCCAGUAGUC